UCAUUUGAUAUGCCUCUCAGUGUUAGGAAAGAGAUAUUAAAAUGCAGCAAAUAAACAGCCUACAGGCCAGCUGUUAUUGCAAAAAAAACCCUGGGGUCCUCCAGGUACACAUUUUAUUUGCUGUAGUAGAAAAAUUCCCUUUCCUUUUCCUAGCUAAUUGUUUGCAUUAGUGCCUCCUGGUUCUUCGCUUGAAUUUACUAGAAAUGGAAAUUAAGAAAUGAGUCCAGUCAUUGAUCACUGGCCUGUCAACUUUGUGGACACUCACCCAGGUGAAUGAAAAAAUCUUGAUAAGGACAACAAAGUCAAUAGCACCAAAGGCGGUGCUUUUAAAGAAGUUGUUGUGAUGGUCUUUAAGCGGUUGAGACCAGUAGCCCUGUUAUCUAAUUGUCGCAUACUUUGUAAAUAAAACGAUUGCAUUCCCA
Molecule: non-coding RNA, 422 nt
Filed under: Pongo abelii (Sumatran orangutan)
Lineage: Eukaryota; Metazoa; Chordata; Mammalia; Primates; Hominidae
Source: RNAcentral